Small nuclear RNA from Suncus etruscus (white-toothed pygmy shrew), 112 nucleotides. The record is from RefSeq and is a predicted model, not a curated record. NCBI's taxonomy places the organism in Eukaryota, Metazoa, Chordata, Mammalia, Eulipotyphla, Soricidae.
UUGCUUCUAAAGCACAUAUACUAAAAUUGGAAUGAUACAUGGCCAAUUGGAAUGAUUAGCAUGGCCCCUGCACAAGGAUGACAAGCAAAUUUAUGAAGAGUUCUAUAUUAUU